CGAUCUGUAGCUGGUCUGAGAGGACGACCAGCCACACUGGGACUGAGACACGGCCCAGACUCCUACGGGAGGCAGCAGUGGGGAAUUUUGGACAAUGGGCGAAAGCCUGAUCCAGCCAUGCCGCGUGCAGGAUGAAGGCCUUCGGGUUGUAAACUGCUUUUGUACGGAACGAAAAGACUCUGGUUAAUACCUGGGGUCCAUGACGGUACCGUAAGAAUAAGCACCGGCUAACUACGUGCCAGCAGCCGCGGUAAUACGUAGGGUGCAAGCGUUAAUCGGAAUUACUGGGCGUAAAGCGUGCGCAGGCGGUUAUAUAAGACAGAUGUGAAAUCCCCGGGCUCAACCUGGGAACUGCAUUUGUGACUGUAUAGCUAGAGUACGGCAGAGGGGGAUGGAAUUCCGCGUGUAGCAGUGAAAUGCGUAGAUAUGCGGAGGAACACCGAUGGCGA
This 449-nucleotide ribosomal RNA is filed under the name Acidovorax sp. 3R2-9. Its description in RNAcentral is "bacterial SSU rRNA". It matches the Rfam family "Bacterial small subunit ribosomal RNA", at positions 277 to 718 of the family's 1533-position model. The record is from RNAcentral. Lineage: Bacteria; Pseudomonadati; Pseudomonadota; Betaproteobacteria; Burkholderiales; Comamonadaceae.